RNAcentral lists this non-coding RNA (128 nucleotides) under Pontibacillus yanchengensis. Its description in RNAcentral is "SAM-I sequence". It matches the Rfam family "SAM riboswitch aptamer (S box leader)". From Rfam's summary of the family: The SAM riboswitch is found upstream of a number of genes which code for proteins involved in methionine or cysteine biosynthesis in Gram-positive bacteria. The SAM riboswitch acts at the level of transcription termination control. The record is from RNAcentral. RNAcentral also lists the same sequence under 1 other name. Lineage: Bacteria; Bacillati; Bacillota; Bacilli; Caryophanales; Bacillaceae.
UUCUUAUCUAGAGAGGUGGAGGGACUGGCCCAUUGAAACCUCGGCAUCGGUUUUGUAAGCUAGAUAGUUUAGUUAUCAUAAGCUGUGCCAAUACCAGCGGGUGCACAAAGCACUUCGAAGGAUGAGAA